CCUUAGUGGCGCACGGGUGAGUAACGCGUGGGAACCUACCCUGGAGUGGGGAAUAACUACUGGAAACGGUAGCUAAUACCGCAUAAUCCCUGAGGGGGAAAGGCUUCGGCCGCUCCUGGAUGGUCCCGCGUCCGAUUAGCUAGUUGGUAAGGUAAUGGCUUACCAAGGCGACGAUCGGUAGCUGGUCUGAGAGGAUGAUCAGCCACACUGGAACUGAGACACGGUCCAGACUCC
RNAcentral lists this ribosomal RNA (234 nucleotides) under uncultured bacterium. RNAcentral describes it as "partial 16S ribosomal RNA". It matches the Rfam family "Bacterial small subunit ribosomal RNA", at positions 90 to 339 of the family's 1533-position model. The record is from RNAcentral.